GAUGAACGCUAGCUACAGGCUUAACACAUGCAAGUCGCGUGGCAGCAUGGGGGUUGCUUGCACUCCCCGAUGGCGACCGGCGCACGGGUGAGUAACGCGUAUCCAACCUGCCCUUCACCACGGGAUAACCCGGCGAAAGUCGGACUAAUACCGUAUGUUGUCCAUUGACGGCAUCCGAUUUGGACGAAAGGCUUGGCGGUGAGGGAUGGGGAUGCGUCCGAUUAGCCAGACGGCGGGGUAACGGCCCACCGUGGCUACGAUCGGUAGGGGUUCUGAGAGGAAGGUCCCCCACACUGGAACUGAGACACGGUCCAGACUCCUACGGGAGGCAGCAGUGAGGAAUAUUGGUCAAUGGGCGUAAGCCUGAACCAGCCAAGUAGCGUGCAGGAUGACGGCCCUAUGGGUUGUAAACUGCUUUUAUGCGGGGAUAAAGUGGCCCACGGGUGGGCUUUUGCAGGUACCGCAUGAAUAAGGACCGGCUAAUUCCGUG
RNAcentral lists this ribosomal RNA (490 nucleotides) under uncultured bacterium. RNAcentral describes it as "partial 16S ribosomal RNA". It matches the Rfam family "Bacterial small subunit ribosomal RNA", at positions 28 to 507 of the family's 1533-position model. The record is from RNAcentral.